Molecule: ribosomal RNA, 492 nt
Filed under: uncultured bacterium
Lineage: Bacteria
Description: partial 16S ribosomal RNA
Rfam family: Bacterial small subunit ribosomal RNA
Source: RNAcentral
AGUGAACGCUGGCGGUAGGCCUAACACAUGCAAGUCGAACGGCAGCACAGUAAGAGCUUGCUCUUACGGGUGGCGAGUGGCGGACGGGUGAGGAAUACAUCGGAAUCUACUUUUUCGUGGGGGAUAGCGUAGGGAAACUUACGCUAAUACCGCAUACGACCUACGGGUGAAAGCAGGGGAUCUUCGGACCUUGCGCGAUUGAAUGAGCCGAUGUCGGAUUAGCUAGUUGGCGGGGUAAAGGCCCACCAAGGCGACGAUCCGUAGCUGGUCUGAGAGGAUGAUCAGCCACACUGGAACUGAGACACGGUCCAGACUCCUACGGGAGGCAGCAGUGGGGAAUAUUGGACAAUGGGCGCAAGCCUGAUCCAGCCAUACCGCGUGGGUGAAGAAGGCCUUCGGGUUGUAAAGCCCUUUUGUUGGGAAAGAAAAGCAGCAGGUUAAUACCCCGCUGUUCUGACGGUACCCAAAGAAUAAGCACCUGCUAACUUCGUG